This 311-nucleotide ribosomal RNA is filed under the name uncultured Streptococcus sp. Its description in RNAcentral is "bacterial SSU rRNA". It matches the Rfam family "Bacterial small subunit ribosomal RNA", at positions 1072 to 1382 of the family's 1533-position model. Lineage: Bacteria; Bacillati; Bacillota; Bacilli; Lactobacillales; Streptococcaceae. The record is from RNAcentral.
AUGUUGGGUUAAGUCCCGCAACGAGCGCAACCCCGUAUUGUUAGUUGCCAUCAUUCAGUUGGGCACUCUAGCGAGACUAGCCGGUAAUAAACCGGAGGAAGGUGGGGAUGACGUCAAUCAUCAUGCCCCUUAGUGACCUGGGCUACACACGUGCUACAAUGGUUGGUACAACGAGUUGCGAGUCGGUGACGGCGAGCUAAUCUCUUAAAGCCAAUCUCAGUUCGGAUUGUAGGCUGCAACUCGCCUACAUGAAGUCGGAAUCGCUAGUAAUCGCGGAUCAGCACGCCGCGGUGAAUACGUUCCCGGGCCUU